CUUGAGGGAGCCGAGCCACAACGGCCGGUCGUCGGGACGGUUCUGGCCGUACGUGGCCAGGAGCGCCUGGGCCUC
This 75-nucleotide antisense RNA is filed under the name Streptomyces caatingaensis. RNAcentral's name for it is "ASpks TB sRNA". It matches the Rfam family "ASpks TB sRNA". The record is from Rfam by way of RNAcentral. Lineage: Bacteria; Bacillati; Actinomycetota; Actinomycetes; Kitasatosporales; Streptomycetaceae.